AUAACAUCAUUUUGUCAAUGGGACGACCGCAUCAGCACCAAUGGAAGCAGAAAUAAAAUGGUCCACAGAAUACCUCCCAAGGAAAUUCUUCACUACCUCAUCGAGGUCGAAGGACAACACCGGAGAAGCUUAAAGUAAAGGACAGGACCAGGACAGAACGGAAAGGAAAGGUCCUGCACUGGAACCAAAGGAACUAUACCACCAAGGCUUAACCCAAUCCACCAGGAAACAGGGUUUCGUGAGUGUAAACGCAAAAACAAAAAACGAUGAAACAUGGAAAGAUAGCUACGAUGGACAACACGUGGAAACAUAAAUCUUUGUCUGGCCUUACAGCCCAUGGACUAAGCCACGAAUGCGUACGAAGACGAAGAAGAAUGUGUAUCCCGUGAUAAAAAAAGGCUUCCUUUUAGGUUGGACAAGUGGCUACGGGGUCAAGGAACCCCAAUCUAAAGUCUAGGACCUACCUAAGAUAAGAGCUCAUAUCCUAGCGCCUAUUUGGUUCCCUAUAUCCGGGACGAGAUUACCGUGAAGAGCACUCCCUUGUCUAACCGAACAUCGUCCGUCAGUGUCCUAGUCCUGGAUAUACCGCUGCAACCAGGAGGGCUGCAGAAUGCUGGAUCUCCCACACUGGACUGGAGCGGUGCUGGUGGCUGACGGUGGGAACGAUGAGUUUGUGACUUUUACCGAUAUUUUGCGUGCUUAGCGCUUUCGUUGUGAUUCUGCUGGCAGGCUCAUAUGCUUCGUGUGUAUAUUAGGUGAUGGUUUACGAGAUUUUACAGCCUUCGAAAUUGUUCACAGGUUUGAUAAUUAAAACAAGGAAAAAAAAUGUUCACCGUGUUUAAAUAAACGCUACUGCCAUCUAUUAAUAAAAAAAUGCACUUUCCCACCAUCGGUGGUGAAGGGGUUUUUCUGCUUCAAAAGCGUUCAAAUUGA
This is a long non-coding RNA of Stomoxys calcitrans (stable fly), 933 nucleotides long. RefSeq lists it as uncharacterized. The record is from RefSeq and is a predicted model, not a curated record. The transcript has 6 exons. Lineage: Eukaryota; Metazoa; Arthropoda; Insecta; Diptera; Muscidae.